AUUUAUAUAAUUCAGUUAGAAUAUUGCAUUGAAGCUGCAAAAGCGAGUGUCAACUCUGUAAAUA
RNAcentral lists this transfer RNA (64 nucleotides) under Thalamita integra. Its description in RNAcentral is "tRNA-Phe". It matches the Rfam family "tRNA". Rfam says of the family: Transfer RNA (tRNA) molecules are approximately 80 nucleotides in length. Lineage: Eukaryota; Metazoa; Arthropoda; Malacostraca; Decapoda; Portunidae. The record is from RNAcentral.